UACGAAGGGGGCUAGCGUUGCUCGGAAUCACUGGGCGUAAAGGGUGCGUAGGCGGGUCUUUAAGUCAGAGGUGAAAUCCUGGAGCUCAACUCCAGAACUGCCUUUGAUACUGAGGAUCUUGAGUUCGAGAGAGGUGAGUGGAAUUCCCAGUGUAGAGGUGAAAUUCGUAGAUAUUGGGAAGAACACCGGUGGCGAAGGCGGCUCACUGGCUCGUAACUGACGCUCAUGCACGACAGCGUGGGGAUCAAACAGG
This 253-nucleotide ribosomal RNA is filed under the name uncultured bacterium. Its description in RNAcentral is "partial 16S ribosomal RNA". It matches the Rfam family "Bacterial small subunit ribosomal RNA", at positions 524 to 776 of the family's 1533-position model. The record is from RNAcentral.